GCACUCACUUCAGCAGCACAUACACUAAAAUCAGAACAAUACAGAGAUCAUUAGCAUGGCCCCUGCACAAGGAUGAUGUGCAAAUUUGUGAAGUGUUCCAUAUUUUU
Molecule: small nuclear RNA, 107 nt
Organism: Artibeus jamaicensis (Jamaican fruit-eating bat)
Lineage: Eukaryota; Metazoa; Chordata; Mammalia; Chiroptera; Phyllostomidae
Source: RefSeq, a predicted model, not a curated record